This 1078-nucleotide long non-coding RNA is filed under the name Homo sapiens (human). RNAcentral's name for it is "HSALNT0390561". Lineage: Eukaryota; Metazoa; Chordata; Mammalia; Primates; Hominidae. The record is from RNAcentral.
AGACAUCUGAGAAGUGGGUUAGGGGAGAAACGUGGCACAGCGGGGGCCUGGCAGGAGAGGACUCAGAUACCAAAUUAGAGGGAAGAAGAAGGCCUGCCCUAGAGGCCAGUAGGAGCUGAGCAAAAGGAAUCCUAAGUCCAAGAGAGGAGCAGAGGACCUGGCCGCCAGCUCCACCCUCCCUCCCAGGGCCAAAUUUAGCCUGGGCUUAGAAGCUGCGGCCCAGCCAGCUCAUUAAAGGGCCCACGACCCUUUGGGCCUGUGCUGUCAGACCCACCCGGGCCCUAGGACACCUCCAGCCCUCAGAGCUCCCAGCCCCUUCAUCCCAGAGCCCAGCUCCCAGCCCCAUUCCCUGGAUCCCCAGCUGGCCAUGGCAUUAACACCCCAAAGCCCUUCUGGCGCCUGCCUCACCCAACCCAGAUCCCUCUUCUGUGGGCCCUCCACACCUCCGUCUUACCACCCCUAAAUCCUGCCCCCUCAUCCUGGGCCUCCCCGCUGAACAAGGCCCCAACUUGCCCACGAGGAGAGGAGUCCAGAAGAGUGUCUCAGCCAUGGCUGCCCGGCCUGGCCCGCCCGGUGUGGACGUUUAUGCAAUUCUGGAAGGUCUCCUGGUGGGGACCCCUGGGAAAGAGACUAAUAAGAAAGCAUCCAGUUUCUUCGGUCUCUGACGUUGUUGUCUGCACAAGAGAGUUAAGGCAGCCAUCUUGGGACCAUGAGGGAGCCAGUCUAAGAGGCAAAUCAACACAAUGAGAGGGUGUUGGAAAAAGACAAAAAGAACCUGGUCCUUGAUGUCACAGCCAGGCCUCUGAAUUAACCACCCCCAGGACUUCUUGUUACGUGAGCUAAUAAACGUUCCUUUUUGCUUAAACCCCUUCUAGUUGGGCUUUCUGUUGUAACUUGCACCGAAAACUACAAUAGGAUAGCAAAGGAUAUGAACAUAAGUGAUUUGCCUAGAGGAAACCCACAUGGUCAAUGAGAAUAAGAUGCUCAGCCUCAUAGGCAGGGAAUGCAGCUUCAAAUGAGAUGCCACUUCAUGCCUAUCAGAUUGGCAAACAUAAGUCUAACAAGAGCAAAAGUUGGC